This 21-nucleotide microRNA is filed under the name Physcomitrium patens. Its description in RNAcentral is "ppt-miR1214". Lineage: Eukaryota; Viridiplantae; Streptophyta; Bryopsida; Funariales; Funariaceae. The record is from miRBase by way of RNAcentral.
UACUAUGAGAAUCUCGCGGCC